This 468-nucleotide ribosomal RNA is filed under the name uncultured bacterium. Its description in RNAcentral is "partial 16S ribosomal RNA". It matches the Rfam family "Bacterial small subunit ribosomal RNA", at positions 28 to 507 of the family's 1533-position model. The record is from RNAcentral.
GACGAACGCUGGCGGCGUGCUUAACACAUGCCAGUCGAACGGAAAGGCCCUGCUUUUGUGGGGUGCUCGAGUGGCGAACGGGUGAGUAACACGUGAGUAACCUGCCCUUGACUUUGGGAUAACUUCAGGAAACUGGGGCUAAUACCGGAUAGGAGCUCCUGCUGCAUGGUGGGGGUUGGAAAGUUUCGGCGGUUGGGGAUGGACUCGGGGCUUAUCAGCUUGUUGGUGGGGUAGUGGCUUACCAAGGCUUUGACGGGUAGCCUGCCUGAGAGGGUGACCGGCCACAUUGGGACUGAGGUACGGCCCAGACUCCUACGGUAGGCAGCAGUGGGGAAUAUUGCACAAUGGGCCGAAGCGUGAUGCAGCAACGCCGCGUGCGGGAUGACGGCCUUCGGGUUGUAAACCGCUUUCGCCUGUGACGAAGCGUGAGUGACGGUAAUGGGUAAAGAAGCACCGGCUAACUACGUG